UGGGAAGGAAGGAACACAGUUGCAAGCAGCACAGUGUAUAUUAGCACUUACGAUGAAGACGUGAUUCCAUACUUCGCUGCUGAAUGUCAAAUCCCAUUGUGUUUGGCUCUCAAGAAUGCGGGUAGUUAAACUAAUGCAAGAAAAAAACAUGGCGUGUGUGCUACUGACUCUACAGGAUAAGGCUAUUUCCUGGGAUCGGCUAUCACAUUCACCAGCCUCUACAACGGUGGCCUUGGCCUCUGGACUCUGUAACCUCGACCUCGGUCCAUUUGGAUGCC
This is a long non-coding RNA of Cryptotermes secundus, 278 nucleotides long. RefSeq lists it as uncharacterized. Lineage: Eukaryota; Metazoa; Arthropoda; Insecta; Blattodea; Kalotermitidae. The transcript is spliced from 3 exons. The record is from RefSeq and is a predicted model, not a curated record.